GAGUUUGAUCCUGGCUCAGAUUGAACGCUGGCGGCAUGCCUUACACAUGCAAGUCGAACGGUAACAGGUCUUCGGAUGCUGACGAGUGGCGAACGGGUGAGUAAUACAUCGGAACGUGCCCGAUCGUGGGGGAUAACGAGGCGAAAGCUUUGCUAAUACCGCAUACGAUCUACGGAUGAAAGCGGGGGAUCUUCGGACCUCGCGCGGACGGAGCGGCCGAUGGCAGAUUAGGUAGUUGGUGGGAUAAAAGCUUACCAAGCCGACGAUCUGUAGCUGGUCUGAGGGGAUGAUCAGCCACGCUGGGACUGAGACACGGCCCAGACUCCUACGGGAGGCAGCAGUGGGGAAUUUUGGACAAUGGGCGAAAGCCUGAUCCAGCCAUGCCGCGUGCAGGAUGAAGGCCUU
Molecule: ribosomal RNA, 405 nt
Filed under: uncultured microorganism
Description: bacterial SSU rRNA
Rfam family: Bacterial small subunit ribosomal RNA
Source: RNAcentral